AAAAAGGCUCUUUUAAGAGCCACCCACAAUUUUCUUAAGAGAUAUU
RNAcentral lists this non-coding RNA (46 nucleotides) under Xyrichtys novacula (pearly razorfish). It matches the Rfam family "Histone 3' UTR stem-loop". Rfam says of the family: The mRNAs of metazoan histone genes lack a poly-A tail. 3' end processing occurs at a site between a highly conserved stem-loop (modelled by this family) and a purine rich region around 20 nts downstream (the histone downstream element, or HDE). The record is from RNAcentral. Lineage: Eukaryota; Metazoa; Chordata; Actinopteri; Labriformes; Labridae.